UGAGUGGCGGACGGGUGAGUAACGCGUGGGUAACCUGCCCUGUACAGGGGGAGUAACAGUCAGAAACGGCUGCUAAUACCGCAUAAGCGCACAGUACCGCAUGGUACCGUGUGAAAAACUCCGGUGGUAUAAGAUGGACCCGCGUUGGAUUAGCUAGUUGGCGGGGUAACGGCCUACCAAGGCGACGAUCCAUAGCCGGCCUGAGAGGGUGAACGGCCACAUUGGGACUGAGACACGGCCCAGACUCCUACGGGAGGCAGCAUG
RNAcentral lists this ribosomal RNA (264 nucleotides) under uncultured bacterium. RNAcentral's name for it is "partial 16S ribosomal RNA". It matches the Rfam family "Bacterial small subunit ribosomal RNA", at positions 92 to 353 of the family's 1533-position model. The record is from RNAcentral.